This 497-nucleotide ribosomal RNA is filed under the name uncultured bacterium. Its description in RNAcentral is "partial 16S ribosomal RNA". It matches the Rfam family "Bacterial small subunit ribosomal RNA", at positions 28 to 507 of the family's 1533-position model. The record is from RNAcentral.
GAUGAACGCUGGCGGCGUGCCUAAUACAUGCAAGUCGAGCGAACAGACGAGGAGCUUGCUCCUCUGACGUUAGCGGCGGACGGGUGAGUAACACGUGGAUAACCUACCUAUAAUACUGGGAUAACUUCGGGAAACCGGAGCUAAUACCGGAUAAUAUAUUGAACCGCAUGGUUCAAUAGUGAAAGACGGUUUUGCUGUCACUUAUAGAUGAAUCCGCGCCGCAUUAGCUAGUUGGUAAGGUAACGGCUUACCAAGGCAACGAUGCGUAGCCGACCUGAGAGGGUGAUCGGCCACACUGGAACUGAGACACGGUCCAGACUCCUACGGGAGGCAGCAGUAGGGAAUCUUCCGCAAUGGGCGCAAGCCUGACGGAGCAACGCCGCGUGAGUGAUGAAGGUCUUCGGAUCGUAAAACUCUGUUAUUAGGGAAGAACAAAUGUGUAAGUAAAUAUGGACGUCUUGACGGUACCUAAUCAGAAAGCCACGGCUAACUACGUG